UACGUAGGGACCAAGCGUUGUUCGGAUUUACUGGGCGUAAAGGGCGCGUAGGCGGCGUGACAAGUCACUUGUGAAAUCUCCGGGCUUAACUCGGAACGGCCAAGUAAUACUGUCACGCUAGAGUGCGGAAGGGGCAAUCAGAAUUCUUGGUGUAGCGGUGAAAUGCGUAGAUAUCUGUAGGAACACCCGUGGCGAAGGCGGCUCGCUGGACCGCAACUGACGCUGAGGAACGAAAGCUAGGGGAGCAAACAGG
This 253-nucleotide ribosomal RNA is filed under the name uncultured prokaryote. RNAcentral's name for it is "partial 16S ribosomal RNA". It matches the Rfam family "Bacterial small subunit ribosomal RNA", at positions 524 to 776 of the family's 1533-position model. The record is from RNAcentral.